This 19-nucleotide non-coding RNA is filed under the name Mus musculus (house mouse). Lineage: Eukaryota; Metazoa; Chordata; Mammalia; Rodentia; Muridae. The record is from RNAcentral.
UUUGAGCUUGCUUGAAUGC